GGCUUAGCAUGGUAUAGUGGUUUGAGCAUUGGACUAUGACUCUGGAGGCCAGGGUUCAAUUCCCAGCUCGACCA
Phrynosoma platyrhinos (Desert horned lizard) is the source of this 74-nucleotide non-coding RNA. NCBI's taxonomy places the organism in Eukaryota, Metazoa, Chordata, Lepidosauria, Squamata, Phrynosomatidae. The record is from the annotation of a GenBank genome assembly.